Molecule: long non-coding RNA, 233 nt
Filed under: Gallus gallus (chicken)
Lineage: Eukaryota; Metazoa; Chordata; Aves; Galliformes; Phasianidae
Source: RNAcentral
UUUGUGAUGUCAGUUCUUGCUGAACCAUCUCUUUUGCAAUUUGGACACUUUGCAUCAUUUCUUCCUUGGCUUUAAUUCGUGCCUCUUCAAUUUCUGAUUCAAGCUGUGCUCUCUGUGCAAUCAGCAGCUCAUUCUUGGCAAAUUCGAAGUCUUUCGGACCAUCGUGCAAAAGCGUAGUUCCACAAGACAGCCCUUUCACCUUCUGAACCUCCACUGGGUGAUUAAACCUGAAG